UUGGAUCACCUCCUUAU
This 17-nucleotide ribosomal RNA is filed under the name bacterium endosymbiont of Nycterophylia n. sp. Its description in RNAcentral is "partial 16S ribosomal RNA". The record is from RNAcentral.